This 373-nucleotide ribosomal RNA is filed under the name uncultured organism. RNAcentral describes it as "partial 16S ribosomal RNA". It matches the Rfam family "Bacterial small subunit ribosomal RNA", at positions 527 to 896 of the family's 1533-position model. The record is from RNAcentral.
GUAGGUGGCAAGCGUUGUCCGGAAUUAUUGGGCGUAAAGCGCGCGCAUGCGGGUCCUUUAAGUCUGAUGUGAAAGCCCACGGGCUCAACCGUGAGGGUCAUUGGAAACUGGGGGACUUGAGUACAGAAGAGGAAAGCGGAAUUCCAAGUGUAGCGGUGAAAUGCGUAGAGAUUUGGAGGAACACCAGUGGCGAAGGCGGCUUUCUGGUCUGUAACUGACGCUGAGGCGCGAAAGCGUGGGGAGCAAACAGGAUUAGAUACCCUGGUAGUCCACGCCUUAAACGAUGAGUGCUAAGUGUUAGGGGGUUUCCGCCCCUUAGUGCUGCAGCUAACGCAUUAAGCACUCCGCCUGGGGAGUACGGCCGCAAAGGCUG